Molecule: long non-coding RNA, 200 nt
Filed under: Homo sapiens (human)
Lineage: Eukaryota; Metazoa; Chordata; Mammalia; Primates; Hominidae
Description: HSALNT0168440
Source: RNAcentral
UGGUUAGAAGAGAAUAAUUGUAAAAAUCAAAUAAAAUUGAGGCUGGCAUAGGAAGUACAGAUUAAAUACAGGUUAAAUAGCUACCAGAAACACAGAAGAGGAUGCUAAGACCCAGUUAGCUUUAAAUGGUUUUUAGAAAGACUUACCUAGUCAAAAGUGGUUAAUUUGAACUUUUCAAACUUGCAAAAGCAUAUACAUUU